RNAcentral lists this transfer RNA (73 nucleotides) under Pseudonocardia sp. N23. RNAcentral describes it as "tRNA-Leu". It matches the Rfam family "tRNA". Rfam says of the family: Transfer RNA (tRNA) molecules are approximately 80 nucleotides in length. Their secondary structure includes four short double-helical elements and three loops (D, anti-codon, and T loops). Lineage: Bacteria; Bacillati; Actinomycetota; Actinomycetes; Pseudonocardiales; Pseudonocardiaceae. The record is from RNAcentral.
GCCGGCGUAGCCCAACGGCAGAGGCCCGUGCCCUAGGAGCACGUCAGUGCGGGUUCGAAUCCCGCCGCCGGCA